CUGGCUGGACCGUGAGCGUUCUUGACAUCAAAGACAUGGUAUACAAUUCCUUCCCUUGUUCAUAUGAGCUUUAUGCCAUGUCGUCCUUCUGUGCAUAUGAAUGUAUCUUGUUGGUUUGAACUCCAUAUGUAGGUGUUUCAAGCUUUAGAAAUCUUCAAGGUCGAACAUUCAGGCAAGCCAUUCACAUUUACCCAUUGCUGGACCAUGAUUUGCGAGUGCCAAAAGAUUAAGGAGACAUAUGCGUCCUAAAAGAAAGGUGAGGGACUUCAUUGGUCGUUGAGCCAAGUGAAAGUGAGAAGCGGUCGAGAGGGAAGACCAAUUCCAAGGUGAUUCGACACUUGCCUUCAAUAAACUUUAAAGCGGACCCAAAGGAGAUGGCAAUUGAGAAGAGGGAAGAGAGGAAGUGCCUAGAGAAGGAGGAGGCAAGGAAGGCUCAAGAUUGGUGAGACCAAUGCCCGGUCACGAGCAAACGAGAUAAAGCUUGCCCUAAUCAUGAAGAAAGUGGAGAUCAUGGCGGCCGACAUGUGCAAGACCCCAAGAAGAAGGGUUUGGUUCGAGACAAAGCAGAAGGAGAUGCUCGAGCUAGAUGCGUGAUCAUGUUUGGCCAAGAUGCAUGAACUACAAC
Molecule: long non-coding RNA, 625 nt
Filed under: Triticum aestivum (bread wheat)
Lineage: Eukaryota; Viridiplantae; Streptophyta; Magnoliopsida; Poales; Poaceae
Description: long non-coding RNA (TAES_LNC003054)
Source: RNAcentral